GACGAACGCUGGCGGCGUGCCUAAUACAUGCAAGUCGAGCGGACGAUUCGAAAGCUUGCUUUUGAAUCGUUAGCGGCGGACGGGUGAGUAACACGUGGGCAACCUGCCCUGUAGACGGGGAUAACACCGAGAAAUCGGUGCUAAUACCGGAUAACACGAAAUGUCGCAUGACGUUUCGUUGAAAGGCGGCGCAAGCUGCCGCUACAGGAUGGGCCCGCGGCGCAUUAGCUAGUUGGUGAGGUAACGGCUCACCAAGGCGACGAUGCGUAGCCGACCUGAGAGGGUGAUCGGCCACACUGGGACUGAGACACGGCCCAGACUCCUACGGGAGGCAGCAGUAGGGAAUCUUCCGCAAUGGACGAAAGUCUGACGGAGCAACGCCGCGUGAGCGAAGAAGGCCUUCGGGUCGUAAAGCUCUGCUGUUAGGGAAGAACAAGUAACGUAGUAACUGACGUUACUAUGACGGUACCUAACGAGAAAGCCACGGCUAACUACGUG
Molecule: ribosomal RNA, 498 nt
Filed under: uncultured bacterium
Lineage: Bacteria
Description: partial 16S ribosomal RNA
Rfam family: Bacterial small subunit ribosomal RNA
Source: RNAcentral